GACGUAGGGUGCAAGCGUUGUCCGGAUUUAUUGGGCGUAAAGAGCUCGUAGGCGGCUUGUUGCGUCGACUGUGAAAACCCGCGGCUUAACCGCGGGCUUGCAGUUGAUACGGGCAGGCUAGAGUUCGGUAGGGGAGACUGGAAUUCCUGGUGUAGCGGUGAAAUGCGCAGAUAUCAGGAGGAACACCGGUGGCGAAGGCGGGUCUCUGGACAGUUCCUGACGCUCAUGCACGAAGGCCAGGGGAGCAAACGGG
This 253-nucleotide ribosomal RNA is filed under the name uncultured bacterium. Its description in RNAcentral is "partial 16S ribosomal RNA". It matches the Rfam family "Bacterial small subunit ribosomal RNA", at positions 524 to 776 of the family's 1533-position model. The record is from RNAcentral.